Molecule: long non-coding RNA, 310 nt
Organism: Lagenorhynchus albirostris (white-beaked dolphin)
Lineage: Eukaryota; Metazoa; Chordata; Mammalia; Artiodactyla; Delphinidae
Exons: 2
Source: RefSeq, a predicted model, not a curated record
GCAUGAGGUGGCUACGUACCCUAUCCGCUAACCUACCUUGAUCCCACUGACAUCAUCCGACCUUUAUCCUAUAUCAAGCUUCCAUAGGCACAUGGGCUGUUUCUUCACUCUCUGCCACCCUUCCACUCUGGCUGCCAGUUCCCUCCGACACCAGGACCAACCACCUCCUCUCUCCCCGGGGGUUUCUCACAGUUUUAUAGCAGAGCGUCUACAUUUGAGGACAGAGCCAACAGCCCAAGUGAGUUCACCAUCUUGUCAGCUUUUUAAGGGCUUCUAUGAGCACUUUAUUAAUAAAGGAGAUGUCACUGGU